Molecule: long non-coding RNA, 628 nt
Organism: Episyrphus balteatus (marmalade hoverfly)
Lineage: Eukaryota; Metazoa; Arthropoda; Insecta; Diptera; Syrphidae
Exons: 2
Source: RefSeq, a predicted model, not a curated record
CCUUUUAGUUCAAGUGAGACAACCCUCCUACAAUUGUUAUUACAUUUCCCAUAUGCUAGAAAAGCUAAACUCUACAAACUAAUUUCCACCCGCUGUCAUUUUUUCAUAUACACCAACAAAAAAAAAAAUCUCCAGUACUAAAAGUCAGCCAUAUUGAAAUAUCGCGCCCUGAUUUCGAGAUUUUGUGAAUGGUUUUUUUUUUUGGUUCGUUUGUUCGUUGGUUGGUUCGUUUCGUGUGGUCGUUUUUUCUCUAUCGUUUUGCAUUUUUGUGUUGUGUGAAAAAAUAAAAAGAAAUUUUAAACAAAACUAAAAUCAAAAAUAGCAAGAAUGGAUAAACACUUAAUUCAUCAAAUAUUAAUAAACAUUGAAAGAUAAUAUAAUAUUUUAAUUGAGAGGAAUAUAAAUACAAAAUAAAUAUACACAAAAGAAAAGAAGAAAUCUUUUGGUGUCUCUUUCUCGACGACUCGACGAAAAAAAAUUCCUCCAAAAUAAGUGCAAAAAAACCCACUCAAAAGAAGUUUUUGUUGUGUUGGAAAAGGCCAAAACACCAACAACUGCUUCCGAUUUUGUUUAUCUUAUAAAAAAGAUUCUUUUUUUCGGUUUCUUCCGUUUUUUUUUUUGUUUUGUU